RNAcentral lists this ribosomal RNA (1674 nucleotides) under Escherichia coli. RNAcentral's name for it is "23S ribosomal RNA (partial)". It matches the Rfam family "Bacterial large subunit ribosomal RNA", at positions 1272 to 2925 of the family's 2925-position model. The record is from RNAcentral. Lineage: Bacteria; Pseudomonadati; Pseudomonadota; Gammaproteobacteria; Enterobacterales; Enterobacteriaceae.
GCUGGAGGUAUCAGAAGUGCGAAUGCUGACAUAAGUAACGAUAAAGCGGGUGAAAAGCCCGCUCGCCGGAAGACCAAGGGUUCCUGUCCAACGUUAAUCGGGGCAGGGUGAGUCGACCCCUAAGGCGAGGCCGAAAGGCGUAGUCGAUGGGAAACAGGUUAAUAUUCCUGUACUUGGUGUUACUGCGAAGGGGGGACGGAGAAGGCUAUGUUGGCCGGGCGACGGUUGUCCCGGUUUAAGCGUGUAGGCUGGUUUUCCAGGCAAAUCCGGAAAAUCAAGGCUGAGGCGUGAUGACGAGGCACUACGGUGCUGAAGCGACAAAUGCCCUGCUUCCAGGAAAAGCCUCUAAGCAUCAGGUAACAUCAAAUCGUACCCCAAACCGACACAGGUGGUCAGGUAGAGAAUACCAAGGCGCUUGAGAGAACUCGGGUGAAGGAACUAGGCAAAAUGGUGCCGUAACUUCGGGAGAAGGCACGCUGAUAUGUAGGUGAAGCGACUUGCUCGUGGAGCUGAAAUCAGUCGAAGAUACCAGCUGGCUGCAACUGUUUAUUAAAAACACAGCACUGUGCAAACACGAAAGUGGACGUAUACGGUGUGACGCCUGCCCGGUGCCGGAAGGUUAAUUGAUGGGGUUAGCGGUAACGCGAAGCUCUUGAUCGAAGCCCCGGUAAACGGCGGCCGUAACUAUAACGGUCCUAAGGUAGCGAAAUUCCUUGUCGGGUAAGUUCCGACCUGCACGAAUGGCGUAAUGAUGGCCAGGCUGUCUCCACCCGAGACUCAGUGAAAUUGAACUCGCUGUGAAGAUGCAGUGUACCCGCGGCAAGACGGAAAGACCCCGUGAACCUUUACUAUAGCUUGACACUGAACAUUGAGCCUUGAUGUGUAGGAUAGGUGGGAGGCUUUGAAGUGUGGACGCCAGUCUGCAUGGAGCCGACCUUGAAAUACCACCCUUUAAUGUUUGAUGUUCUAACGUGGGCCCCUUACCGGGGUUGCGGACAGUGUCUGGUGGGUAGUUUGACUGGGGCGGUCUCCUCCUAAAGAGUAACGGAGGAGCACGAAGGUUGGCUAAUCCUGGUCGGACAUCAGGAGGUUAGUGCAAUGGCAUAAGCCAGCUUGACUGCGAGCGUGACGGCGCGAGCAGGUGCGAAAGCAGGUCAUAGUGAUCCGGUGGUUCUGAAUGGAAGGGCCAUCGCUCAACGGAUAAAAGGUACUCCGGGGAUAACAGGCUGAUACCGCCCAAGAGUUCAUAUCGACGGCGGUGUUUGGCACCUCGAUGUCGGCUCAUCACAUCCUGGGGCUGAAGUAGGUCCCAAGGGUAUGGCUGUUCGCCAUUUAAAGUGGUACGCGAGCUGGGUUUAGAACGUCGUGAGACAGUUCGGUCCCUAUCUGCCGUGGGCGCUGGAGAACUGAGGGGGGCUGCUCCUAGUACGAGAGGACCGGAGUGGACGCAUCACUGGUGUUCGGGUUGUCAUGCCAAUGGCACUGCCCGGUAGCUAAAUGCGGAAGAGAUAAGUGCUGAAAGCAUCUAAGCACGAAACUUGCCCCGAGAUGAGUUCUCCCUGACUCCUUGAGAGUCCUGAAGGAACGUUGAAGACGACGACGUUGAUAGGCCGGGUGUGUAAGCGCAGCGAUGCGUUGAGCUAACCGGUACUAAUGAACCGUGAGGCUUAACCU